RNAcentral lists this ribosomal RNA (385 nucleotides) under uncultured bacterium. Its description in RNAcentral is "bacterial SSU rRNA". It matches the Rfam family "Bacterial small subunit ribosomal RNA", at positions 355 to 757 of the family's 1533-position model. The record is from RNAcentral.
UGGGGAAUAUUGGACAAUGGGCGAAAGCCUGAUCCAGCAAUGCCGCGUGAGUGAUGAAGGCCUUAGGGUUGUAAAGCUCUUUUACCCGGGAUGAUAAUGACAGUACCGGGAGAAUAAGCCCCGGCUAACUCCGUGCCAGCAGCCGCGGUAAUACGGAGGGGGCUAGCGUUGUUCGGAAAUACUGGGCGUAAAGCGAACGUAGGCGGCCUGGCAAGUCAGGGGUGAAAUCCCGGAGCUCAACUCCGGAACUGCCCUUGAAACUGCUAGGCUUGAAUCCUGGAGAGGCGAGUGGAAUUCCGAGUGUAGAGGUGAAAUUCGUAGAUAUUCGGAAGAACACCAGUGGCGAAGGCGACUCGCUGGACAGGUAUUGACGCUGAGGUUCGAA